Molecule: long non-coding RNA, 497 nt
Filed under: Nicotiana benthamiana
Lineage: Eukaryota; Viridiplantae; Streptophyta; Magnoliopsida; Solanales; Solanaceae
Description: long non-coding RNA (NBEN_LNC006272)
Source: RNAcentral
AACCCAGAAUUGAAUUUUGGGGAAUCCCAAAAAAUCCCACCUUUAUAAUACUACUCGGUUAUCAUUAUCUGGUCUAAUUUUGGCUCUGUGUUUGUUUUUUCUGAGAUUUUGGGAUCAAACUGAAUUUUGAUCAAAGUUUUGUAGUGUAGUUGAAGAGAAGAUUAGUAGAUUGCUUAUUUGUUGGGAUUUUAUUGGAAAACUUGAAGCCAAGUUUGGACUUUCCCCCCUUGUAUUUGUUGGCUUAAGGCACUGUUUGGUAAAUGGUUUUGAGGGUAUUUUGAUUGGAGAAAGGUUCGGUCUUUUAGUGUUUUAAGGAGAAUAAAAAUGGUGAGUGGAACUUUGUUUCAUUGUAGAAAGAAUUCAUGGCCACCUGAGGAAUAUAUCUGGUCUUUGAGUGUUUUAAUAAGGAGAAUAAAAAUGGUGAGUGGAACUUUGUUUCAUUGUAGAAAGAACUCAUGGCCACCUGAAGAAUAUAUCAGUAAAGCAACUUUACAAUU